This 292-nucleotide ribosomal RNA is filed under the name uncultured bacterium. Its description in RNAcentral is "partial 16S ribosomal RNA". It matches the Rfam family "Bacterial small subunit ribosomal RNA", at positions 505 to 796 of the family's 1533-position model. The record is from RNAcentral.
GUGUCAGCAGCCGCGGUAAUACGUAGGGGGCGAGCGUUGUCCGGAGUUACUGGGCGUAAAGGGCACGCAGGCGGUUGUGUCAGUUUGCGGGGACAGUGGGCGGCUUAACUGCCCAAGGGUCGCAAAGACGGCACGACUGGAGAGCGAGAGAGGGACCUGGAACUCCGGGUGGAGCGGUGAAAUGCGUAGAGAUCCGGAAGAACACCACUGGCGAAGGCAAGGUCCUGGCUCGUAUCUGACGCUGAGGUGCGAAAGCUAGGGGAGCGAACGGGAUUAGAUACCCCGGUAGUCC